This 260-nucleotide ribosomal RNA is filed under the name uncultured bacterium. Its description in RNAcentral is "partial 16S ribosomal RNA". It matches the Rfam family "Bacterial small subunit ribosomal RNA", at positions 524 to 777 of the family's 1533-position model. The record is from RNAcentral.
GACAGGAGGUGCCAAGCGUUAGGCGGAAUCACUGGGCUUAAAGCGUGUGUAGGCGGACUUGUAAGUACCGUUGUAGCAAAUCCCACGGCUCAACCGUGGAACUGCUUGGUAUACUGCUUGUCUUGAGCCACUUAGGGGCUAACCGGAACAAAUGGUGGAGGCGGUGAAAUGCGUAGAUGUCAUUUGGAACGCCAAUGGUGAAAACAGGUAGCUGGGAGUGUGCUGACGCUGAGACACGAAAGCCAGGGGAGCGAAACGGG